AGUUUGAUCCUGGCUCAGGAUGAACGCUAGCGACAGGCUUAACACAUGCAAGUCGAGGGGCAUCAUGAGGUAGCAAUACCUUGAUGGCGACCGGCCAGGGGGAAUAACCGUUUACCAACUUCCCGAGACCCGGGGUUUCCCCAAGGAACGUGGAAUACCACCCCCAUUUGAUCUUUUUCCCGCAGGGAGAUGAAUUAAAUUUCCCAGGUUUCGGAUGGGCCUGCCUCCUUUAUAUUAGGUGGCGGGGGAACACGCCCACCAAGGCCGUUAUUGGGUAGGGUUUUGAAGGAGAAGGUCCCCCACCAUUGGAAAUUGAACCCGGGUCCAAACUCCUUAGGGGGGGCAGCAGUGAGGAAUAUUGGUCAAUGGACGUAAGUCUGAACCAGCCAAGUCGCGUGAGGGAAGACUGCCCUUAUGGGUUGUAAACCUCUUUUAUAAGGGAAGAAUAAGUUCUACGUGUAGAAUGAUGCCUGUACCUUAUGAAUAAGCAUCGGCUAACUCCGUGCCAGCAGCCGCGGUAAUACGGAGGAUGCGAGCGUUAUCCGGAUUUAUUGGGUUUAAAGGGUGCGUAGGCGGUUUAUUAAGUUAGUGGUUAAAUAUUUGAGCUAAACUCAAUUGUGCCAUUAAUACUGGUAAACUGGAGUACAGACGAGGUAGGCGGAAUAAGUUAAGUAGCGGUGAAAUGCAUAGAUAUAACUUAGAACUCCGAUAGCGAAGGCAGCUUACCAGACUGUAACUGACGCUGAUGCACGAGAGCGUGGGUAGCGAACAGGAUUAGAUACCCUGGUAGUCCACGCCGUAAACGAUGCUCACUGGUUCUGUGCGAUAUAUUGUACGGGAUUAAGCGAAAGUAUUAAGUGAGCCACCUGGGGAGUACGUCGGCAACGAUGAAACUCAAAGGAAUUGACGGGGGCCCGCACAAGCGGAGGAACAUGUGGUUUAAUUCGAUGAUACGCGAGGAACCUUACCUGGGUUUAAAUGGGAAAUGCCGUAUUUGGAAACAGAUAUUCUCUUCGGAGCGUUUUUCAAGGUGCUGCAUGGUUGUCGUCAGCUCGUGCCGUGAGGUGUCGGGUUAAGUCCCAUAACGAGCGCAACCCUUACCGUUAGUUGCUAGCAUGUAAUGAUGAGCACUCUAACGGGACUGCCACCGUAAGGUGAGAGGAAGGCGGGGAUGACGUCAAAUCAGCACGGCCCUUACACCCAGGGCUACACACGUGUUACAAUGGCCGGUACAGAGGGCCGCUACCAGGUGACUGGAUGCCAAUCUCAAAAGCCGGUCGUAGUUCGGAUUGGAGUCUGUAACCCGACUCCAUGAAGUUGGAUUCGCUAGUAAUCGCGCAUCAGCCAUGGCGCGGUGAAUACGUUCCCGGGCCUUGUACACACCGCCCGUC
This 1391-nucleotide ribosomal RNA is filed under the name uncultured bacterium. Its description in RNAcentral is "bacterial SSU rRNA". It matches the Rfam family "Bacterial small subunit ribosomal RNA". The record is from RNAcentral.